UGGUGGUGGAUGGGAUUUGAAUUCAGGACUUUCAUCUGCCAAAGCUCUUUGCACUGAGUCAGACCGUGGGGCAGAUCAGCCAAAUAGCUCUGAUGAAAUCUCCUCCCACUGAAACCCUACAGGGUCUCCCACUUCACUUUGAGGUAAAGGUCCAAUUAUUCAACCUACAAUUAGGUCCCUGUCCAAAGUGGUCUCAAUUUCACACCUGAGCCUUCUUUCUCGCCUCUUCUUAGUAUUCACAAGCUGUCCUCUGCGGCUGAGACCAGGUAGGCAGCCAGCCGAAGGGGCAGAAGAAAUUAAUAGACAGAACACAAUCUAUAUUAUUCAAUGGGACAGGGGUCCAUCAGCCUCAAGGACUGAGGUGAGGUCCCGUGGAUCACCACAUAUUUAUUUCUGGGUAAAGAAUCUUAAGCAUAUACAAUAGCAGGAACUCAUGCCUGCAAGGACACGCAAGCCAAAGUCCACAGGUUCUAUUCCUCACGCCCUGAAGCACACUAGUCUAUCCCAGGUCACUGCCUUGGGGAGUAUCUUAAGAACAAUCAGCAUGGUAUGCAGACGGCGUCCAGUUCCUGCAAGGGCCCAGUGUUCCUAAGCCCCUUGCCUUCAUGCUCGGUAAGAUAUUCCCUUCCAGCCUUUGAUUCCAAGGCACAAACAAUCUGGUAUCAGAUCACAUAUCUCCUAGUUACCCAUUUGGAAUUUAUUUUUCCUAAGUUUAAAGCCCAGGAAGAAUGCUGCUAUGAUCUCCUGCAGCAGUCCUCCAGCCUGGGUUCCCAAAGCCUGCAGCCACAACACUCAUCUGGGAGCUUUGUGAACAUUCCUGGUUGUGAAAUUGCGCCAUAGUUUCACAAGGUGUUCUCAUCGGGGGAAACUGGUUGAAAGGGACAUGAGAACUCUCUGCAUUUGACUUACAGCUUGAUGAGAAUCCCCAGUUAUCUCAAAACAAAAAUUUAAUCAAAAUCAAAUCUCCAAUUGAGCCUAAUGGUCUUCUAGUGUUGCCAAGUGCUAAGGGUCUAGGUACGUGUCUACUCACCGUUCCCAAAACUCAUUCUCCUCUUUGCUGUUUUGAUUCUCCUUUCCUUCCUAUUCGCUAGCUGAGGAAGAUUUCAUGUCUCAUCUCUAAGGGUUUCAGAGCACUGAUCUUCCCUCCUCCCUUCCCCAUACUUCUGGGUACAUCAGACCAAACUGUCCCAAAUCUCCUCCAGAGGGAAUAUCUACUGAGAAAUCCUCAUGAGGCCUCUCUCUCGAGUUCCUUUACAGACUCCAGGAAGAACACAGAAUAUCUCAGUGUCUUCUCUGCUGGGAGCCAACUCCCUCACCCCCAGAGAGGUCUUCACCAACAGAUCAAUAAAGGAAACGCGUCAGCUGGGUGACCGUGGUUGGGAAAAAGAGGUGAACAAGCUCAGCACGGUCUGUGGAGGUGUCGAGCUCACUCCCCACGGCCUUCUCUGUUUCAGACUUGACAAAAUGUCUUUCUUCUCAUCAUGGAUGAAAGCUAUUUUCCUUAUUGCCUUGCUAUUUCCUCUUCACUCUGAAUCUGCUUUUUCACCACCAAAAAACAUUCUAAGAAGAUGAAUCUGGUGGAAAAUUUGAUUUUUUGUCAUUAUGGUGAAUGCUGACUCUGCCAGAGUUACACAUUCCUACGCCUUUUAUUGCAAUCCUCUUUUGCAGUGGAUUCUACAAGCAAUUAGAGUAUUCUCAACCAGAGUUUUAAAUUCCAAGAUGACUGGACAAAGCCUGCUCUAGUAUACAAGAUGGAAUAUAGGAUGUUGAAGAAUUUUUCCAAUUCUAAGAAACUGUGAUUGAAAAAUUUUUAUCCUGUUUGUUGAAUUAUGAAUGACAGUUGCAAAAUUAUCUUAAUUGUAUUUGACAAUAUAAAA
Equus asinus (donkey) is the source of this 1877-nucleotide long non-coding RNA. The record is from Ensembl. NCBI's taxonomy places the organism in Eukaryota, Metazoa, Chordata, Mammalia, Perissodactyla, Equidae.